AGAAUCAACGCUGGCGGCGUGCCUAACACAUGCAAGUCGAACGAGAAAGUGGGAGCAAUCCCACGAGUAAAGUGGCGCACGGGUGAGUAACACGUGACUAACCUACCCUUGAGUGGGGGAUAACCUAGGGAAACCUGGGCUAAUACCGCAUAACACUUACGAGUCAAAGCAGCAAUGCGCUUGGAGAGGAGUUCGCGGCCGAUUAGUUAGUUGGCGGGGUAAUGGCCCACCAAGACGAUGAUCGGUA
RNAcentral lists this ribosomal RNA (247 nucleotides) under uncultured bacterium. RNAcentral's name for it is "partial small subunit ribosomal RNA". It matches the Rfam family "Bacterial small subunit ribosomal RNA", at positions 26 to 285 of the family's 1533-position model. The record is from RNAcentral.